Molecule: ribosomal RNA, 447 nt
Filed under: uncultured bacterium
Lineage: Bacteria
Description: partial 16S ribosomal RNA
Rfam family: Bacterial small subunit ribosomal RNA
Source: RNAcentral
CGCCCAGACUCCUACGGGAGGCAGCAGUGGGGAAUAUUGCACAAUGGGGGAAACCCUGAUGCAGCGACGCCGCGUGAGCGAUGAAGUAUUUCGGUAUGUAAAGCUCUAUCAGCAGGGAAGAAAAUGACGGUACCUGACUAAGAAGCCCCGGCUAACUACGUGCCAGCAGCCGCGGUAAUACGUAGGGGGCAAGCGUUAUCCGGAUUUACUGGGUGUAAAGGGAGCGUAGACGGCGGUGCAAGCCAGAUGUGAAAGCCCGGGGCUCAACCCCGGGACUGCAUUUGGAACUGUGCUGCUAGAGUGUCGGAGAGGCAGGCGGAAUUCCUGGUGUAGCGGUGAAAUGCGUAGAUAUCAGGAGGAACACCGGUGGCGAAGGCGGCCUGCUGGACUGCAACUGACGUUGAGGCCCGAAAGCGUGGGGAGCAAACAGGAUUAGAUACCCUCGUA